CCUACGGGAGGCAGCAGUGAGGAAUAUUGGUCAAUGGGCGUAAGCCUGAACCAGCCAAGUCGCGUGAGGGAUGAAGGUUCUAUGGAUCGUAAACCUCUUUUAUAAGGGAAUAAAGUGUGGGACGUGUCCUGUUUUGUAUGUACCUUAUGAAUAAGGAUCGGCUAACUCCGUGCCAGCAGCCGCGGUAAUACGGAGGAUCCGAGCGUUAUCCGGAUUUAUUGGGUUUAAAGGGUGCGUAGGCGGCCUUUUAAGUCAGCGGUGAAAGUCUGUGGCUCAACCAUAGAAGUGCCGUUGAAACUGGGAGGCUUGAGUAUGUUUGAGGCAGGCGGAAUGCGUGGUGUAGCGGUGAAAUGCUUAGAUAUCACGCAGAACCCCGAUUGCGAAGGCAGCCUGCCAGGCCAUGACUGACGCUGAUGCACGAAAGCGUGGGGAUCAAACAGGAUUAGAUACCCCAGUAGUU
RNAcentral lists this ribosomal RNA (460 nucleotides) under uncultured bacterium. RNAcentral describes it as "partial 16S ribosomal RNA". It matches the Rfam family "Bacterial small subunit ribosomal RNA", at positions 338 to 795 of the family's 1533-position model. The record is from RNAcentral.